Molecule: unclassified non-coding RNA, 200 nt
Filed under: soil metagenome
Description: partial contains internal transcribed spacer 2 and large subunit ribosomal RNA
Source: RNAcentral
AUUAUCAACCCUCAAGCACGGCUUGUUAUUGGGCCUUACACCGCCUAAAAACGGUGGACCCAAAAGAUAAUGGCAGAGCCCGUGUGGAGACUAGAUGCAGCGAGCUAAUAGCACGUGUCAUAGCGAUCCUCCGGCUCGGUCUUAACAAAAUAUUUUCUCAGGUUGACCUCGGAUCAGGUAGGGAUACCCGCUGAACUUAA